Malaclemys terrapin pileata is the source of this 426-nucleotide long non-coding RNA. RefSeq lists it as uncharacterized. The transcript is spliced from 3 exons. The record is from RefSeq and is a predicted model, not a curated record. Lineage: Eukaryota; Metazoa; Chordata; Testudines; Emydidae.
GAGUGGUCAUCAGAAAACCUGUUCUGAUCUUUAAAAGGAGCGCACCCGUUAACACAGGUAGCUCUCAUCAGGAACUGAACGAAAUAAUAACAAAAGGACACAGAUAUGCAGUGUUCCCAUACACACUCAUGUUGCAAAGAUAGAAGAAGGAAGAGCUGAGGGGCAACAGGCAAGCUGAAGUGCUGUACCAGGAUAUUACUACAUAAUUUCAAGGAUAGAAAGGGACACUGCUUCCCAGUCUAACAGACCUGCAUCCUAGAAUGUGAUUGAAAUCUUGGAGAUGGGAGAAAUUGCAUGGUGGAGGGUGAAGGAGGAGUUUGGAAAAAGACUGGAGGACACAGAAGUAAUUUCAAAUGUGCACGUGGUGGAGGAGCAAUGACUAACAUGAUAUUUUAUUUUAAACGAAGGGUUUCAAAAUGCUCAUGC